GCUGGAGUGGUGGAAUGGUAUACACGUGCGACUCAAAAUCGCAUGCCGCAAGGCUUGAGGGUUCAAGUCCCUCCUCCAGCA
Candidatus Kaiserbacteria bacterium is the source of this 81-nucleotide non-coding RNA. The record is from Rfam. Lineage: Bacteria; Candidatus Kaiseribacteriota.